AGAAAGGAGUAGUAAACAGGACCUUUGAUGAAAUAUUUCGUCUUGAAAUCCUUGGAAGGCUUCAAGAUUAUGUGGAAUAUAUGGGUUCUGCUGCACGUGUGAUUCUCGUGCCAUCUAUACGGGACGCAAAUCAUGACUUUGUUUUCCCUCAGCCUGCUUUUGAUAUUCAGCAAGCCGUCUCAAACAUCAGGUA
Non-coding RNA from Camellia sinensis, 193 nucleotides. Lineage: Eukaryota; Viridiplantae; Streptophyta; Magnoliopsida; Ericales; Theaceae. The record is from RefSeq and is a predicted model, not a curated record.